RNAcentral lists this transfer RNA (57 nucleotides) under Neotoma lepida (desert woodrat). It matches the Rfam family "tRNA", at positions 9 to 63 of the family's 71-position model. Rfam says of the family: Transfer RNA (tRNA) molecules are approximately 80 nucleotides in length. Their secondary structure includes four short double-helical elements and three loops (D, anti-codon, and T loops). The record is from Rfam by way of RNAcentral. Lineage: Eukaryota; Metazoa; Chordata; Mammalia; Rodentia; Cricetidae.
AGCUCAGUGGUUAAGAGCACUGGCUGCCCUUCCAGAGGACCUGGGUUCAAUUCCCAG